RNAcentral lists this ribosomal RNA (500 nucleotides) under uncultured bacterium. RNAcentral's name for it is "partial 16S ribosomal RNA". It matches the Rfam family "Bacterial small subunit ribosomal RNA", at positions 28 to 507 of the family's 1533-position model. The record is from RNAcentral.
GACGAACGCUGGCGGCGUGCUUAACACAUGCAAGUCGAACGGAAAGGCCUGCUUUCCCUUGUGGAUUGCGGGUACUCGAGUGGCGAACGGGUGAGUAACACGUGAGUGAUCUGCCCCCAACUUGGGUAUAAGCCUGGGAAACUGGGUCUAAUUCCCGAUAGGACUGCAGGGUGGUGCCUGUGGUGGAAAACGAUUUUCUAGUGGUUGGGGAUGAGCUCGCGGCCUAUCAGCUUGUUGGUGGGGUAAUGGCCUACCAAGGCGGCGACGGGUAGCCGGCCUGAGAGGGUGGACGGCCACAUUGGGACUGAGAUACGGCCCAGACUCCUACGGGAGGCAGCAGUAGGGAAUCUUCCGCAAUGGGCGAAAGCCUGACGGAGCAACGCCGCGUGAGUGAUGAAGGUCUUCGGAUCGUAAAACUCUGUUAUUAGGGAAGAACAAAUGUGUAAGUAACUAUGCACGUCUUGACGGUACCUAAUCAGAAAGCCACGGCUAACUACGUG